This 386-nucleotide ribosomal RNA is filed under the name uncultured Pseudomonas sp. Its description in RNAcentral is "bacterial SSU rRNA". It matches the Rfam family "Bacterial small subunit ribosomal RNA", at positions 996 to 1382 of the family's 1533-position model. The record is from RNAcentral. Lineage: Bacteria; Pseudomonadati; Pseudomonadota; Gammaproteobacteria; Pseudomonadales; Pseudomonadaceae.
UACUUCAGGAUGGAUUGGUGCCUUCGGGAACUCUGACACAGGUGCUGCAUGGCUGUCAUCAGCUCGUGUCGUGAGAUGUUGGGUUAAGUCCCGUAACGAGCGCAACCCUUGUCCUUAGUUACCAGCACGUUAUGGUGGGCACUCUAAGGAGACUGCCGGUGACAAACCGGAGGAAGGUGGGGAUGACGUCAAGUCAUCAUGGCCCUUACGGCCUGGGCUACACACAUGCUACAAUGGUCGGUACAAAGGGUUGCCAAGCCGCGAGGUGGAGCUAAUCCCAUAAAACCGAUCGUAGUCCGGAUCGCAGUCUGCAACUCGACUGCGUGAAGUCGGAAUCGCUAGUAAUCGUGAAUCAGAAUGUCACGGUGAAUACGUUCCCGGGCCUU